This 259-nucleotide ribosomal RNA is filed under the name uncultured bacterium. RNAcentral's name for it is "partial 16S ribosomal RNA". It matches the Rfam family "Bacterial small subunit ribosomal RNA", at positions 1243 to 1500 of the family's 1533-position model. The record is from RNAcentral.
AGGGAGGCGAGAUGGCGACAUGGAGNAAACCCCAAAAACAAGNGCCCCAGUUCGGAUUGCAGGCUGCAACCCGCCUGCAUGAAGCCGGAAUCGCUAGUAAUCGCGAAUCAGAAUGUCGCGGUGAAUACGUUCCCGGGUCUUGUACACACCGCCCGUCACACCAUGGGAGUCGGAAAUGCCCGAAGUCAGUGACCCAACCGUAAGGAGGGAGCUGCCGAAGGUGGAGCCGGUAACUGGGGUGAAGUCGUAACAAGGUAGC